CCCGCUGAACUUAAGCAUAUCAAUAAGCGGAGGAAAAGAAACCAACAGGGAUUACCUCAGUAACGGCGAGUGAAGCGGCACCAGCUCAAAUUUGAAAUCUGGCCUCUCGGGGUCCGAGUUGUAAUUUGUAGAGGAUGUUUUGGGUACCGUCCCGGUCUAAAUUUCUUGGAACAGAAUGUCAGAGAGGGUGAGAAUCCCGUCUUGGACCGGCGGUAGGGCCUGUGUAAAACUCCUUCGACGAGUCGAGUUGUUUGGGAAUGCAGCUCAAAAUGGGUGGUAAAUUUCAUCUAAAGCUAAAUAUUGGCCAGAGACCGAUAGCGCACAAGUAGAGUGAUCGAAAGAUGAAAAGCACUUUGAAAAGAGAGUUAAACAGUAUGUGAAAUUGUUGAAAGGGAAGCGCUUGCACCCAGACUUGAGCGCGGCGGUUCCCCUGGCCUUUUGGCCAGGCUACUCCGUCGUGUCCAGGCCAACAUCGGUUCUGAGGGUCGGUCAAAGGCUCUGGGAAUGUAUCUACCCACGGGUAGACUUAUAGACCAGGGUGUCAUGCGGCCUCUCGGGACCGAGGAACGCGCUUCGGCUCGGAUGUUGGCGUAAUGGUUGUCAGCGACCCGUCGUGAAACACGG
RNAcentral lists this ribosomal RNA (624 nucleotides) under uncultured fungus. Its description in RNAcentral is "eukaryotic LSU rRNA". It matches the Rfam family "Eukaryotic large subunit ribosomal RNA", at positions 24 to 664 of the family's 3401-position model. The record is from RNAcentral. Lineage: Eukaryota; Fungi.